RNAcentral lists this ribosomal RNA (630 nucleotides) under uncultured eukaryote. RNAcentral's name for it is "SSU rRNA". It matches the Rfam family "Eukaryotic small subunit ribosomal RNA", at positions 640 to 1272 of the family's 1831-position model. The record is from RNAcentral.
UUCUGUCGAGGGUGGCCGGUCCGCACUUUGUGCGUGCAUCUGGUUCAGCCUUGGCAUCCUCUUGGGGAACGUAUCUGCGCUUAAUUGCGUGGUGCGGUAUCCAAGACUUUUACUUUGAGGAAAUUAGAGUGUUCACGGCAGGCAAUCGCCUUGAAUACAUUAGCAUGGAAUAAUAAUAUAGGACCUUGGUCCCAUUUUGUUGGUUUCUGGAACUAAGGUAAUGAUUAAUAGGGAUAAUUGGGGGCAUUCGUAUUAACGUGUCAGAGGUGGAAUUCUUGGAUUACGUUACGACGAACUACUGCGAAAGCAUUUGCCAAGGAUGUUUUCAUUGAUCAAGAACGAAAGUUCGGGGAUCGAAGAUGAUUAGAUACCAUCGUAGUCCGAACCAUAAACUAUGCCAACUAGAGAUGGGCGAUCGUUAUUUUUUUGACUUCGUCCGCACCUUAUGAGAAAUCAAAGUCUUUGGGUUCCGGGGGGAGUAUGGGUCGCAAGGCUGAAACUUAAAGGAAUUGACGGAAGGGCACCACCAGGAGUGGAGCCUGCGGCUUAAUUUGACUCAACACGGGAAAACUCACCAGGUCCAGACAUAGUAAGGAUUGACAGAUUGAUAGCUCUUUCUUGGAUUCUAUG